GAUGAACUGUGGGUAGCGGAGAAAUUCCAAUCGAACCCGGAGAUAGCUGGUUCUCCCCGAAAUAGUUUUAGGACUAGCCUCAAGUUAGAUACCUGGAGGUAAAGCACUGAAUAGCCUAGCGGCCGAGAGGUUAGCGAAGCUUAUCAAACUCAGAAUGCCAGAGUAUUGAUGCUUGGGAGUCAGACAGUGUCAGAUAAAUGUCAUUGUCAAAAGGGAAACAGCCCAGAUCUACAGCUAAGGUCCCAAAGUCAGGUUAAGUGGAAAACGAUGUGAAGAUACGCAGACAACCAGGAUGUUGGCUCAGAAGCAGCCACUCAUUCAAAGAGUGCGUAAUAGCUCACUGGUCGAGCGUCUUUGCGCGGAGAAUUUAACGGGGCUAAACCUGACACCGAAGCUUAGGCAAUACAGCAAUGUAUUGGGUAGGGGAGCGUUGUAUACGCGGUGAAACAGUAGCGCAAGCGGCUGUGGAGUGUAUAGAAGUGAGAAUGCCGGAAUGAGUAGCGCGAAUGCAGUGAGAAUCUGCAUGGCCGAAAGCCUCAGGUUUUUGGAGGAAGGUUCGUCCGCUCCAAGUUAGUCGGGAGCUAAGGUGAGGCCGGAAGGCGUAGCCGAUGCACAGACGGUAGAGAUUCCGUCACCACCAAAAGAGUUAAGCACAGGGACACAUUUGAAGUCUCAGAGCCGGGUGUUGGUUCCGGUAGAGAUCGAGGGAAAUUAGUACCGAAGUCUGAGAUGGAAGAUGGCGAGAAAAGCUGUGUGUAUUUCUGAGGUGCCCGUACCGCAAACCGACACAGGUAGGUAGGAAGAAGAUUCUAAGGCCAACGGGAGAAGGGUUGUUAAGGAACUCGGCAAAUUGACCCCGUAACUUCGGGAGAAGGGGUGCUCCAGAGAUGGAGCCGCAGAGAAUCGGCCCAAGCAACUGUUUACCAAAAACACAGGUUUGUGCUAAAUCGAAAGAUGACGUAUACGAGCUGACGCCUGCCCGGUGCUGGAAGGUUAAGAGGAGAUGUGCAAGCAUUGAAUCGAAGCCCCAGUGAACGGCGGCCGUAACUAUAACGGUCCUAAGGUAGCGAAAUUCCUUGUCAGGUAAGUUCUGACCCGCAUGAAAGGCGUAAUGAUUUGGGCACUGUCUCAACAGCCCGCCCGGCGAAAUUGUAGUACCGGUGAAGAUGCCGGUUACCCGCGACAAGACGGAAA
This 1194-nucleotide ribosomal RNA is filed under the name human gut metagenome. RNAcentral describes it as "bacterial LSU rRNA". It matches the Rfam family "Bacterial large subunit ribosomal RNA", at positions 803 to 2086 of the family's 2925-position model. The record is from RNAcentral.